AUUGAACGCUGGCGGAAUGCUUUACACAUGCAAGUCGAACGGCAGCACGGGGCAACCUGGUGGCGAGUGGCGAACGGGUGAGUAAUACAUCGGAACGUGCCCAAUCGUGGGGGAUAACGUAGCGAAAGUUACGCUAAUACCGCAUACGAUCUACGGAUGAAAGCGGGGGAUCGCAAGACCUCGCGCGAAUGGAGCGGCCGAUGUCAGAUUAGGUAGUUGGUGGGGUAAAGGCUCACCAAGCCAACGAUCUGUAGCUGGUCUGAGAGGACGACCAGCCACACUGGAACUGAGACACGGUCCAGACUCCUACGGGAGGCAGCAGUGGGGAAUUUUGGACAAUGGGCGCAAGCCUGAUCCAGCCAUUCCGCGUGCAGGAUGAAGGCCUUCGGUUGUAACUAGCUUUUGUACGGUAACGAAACGGUACUGCCCUAAUACGGCGGCGUAAUGACGGUACCGUAAGAAUAAGACACCGGCUAACGUACGUAGCCAGCAGCCGCGGUAA
Molecule: ribosomal RNA, 502 nt
Filed under: uncultured bacterium
Lineage: Bacteria
Description: bacterial SSU rRNA
Rfam family: Bacterial small subunit ribosomal RNA
Source: RNAcentral